Molecule: ribosomal RNA, 453 nt
Filed under: uncultured bacterium
Lineage: Bacteria
Description: bacterial SSU rRNA
Rfam family: Bacterial small subunit ribosomal RNA
Source: RNAcentral
AGGAUGAACGCUAGCGGCAGGCUUAAUACAUGCAAGUUGAGGGGCAGCAUGAUAUACGCGAGUAUAUUGAUGGCGACCGGCGGACGGGUGAGUAACGCGUGGGAACGUGCCUCUUGCUACGGAAUAGCCUCGGGAAACUGGGAGUAAUACCGUAUGUGCCCUACGGGGGAAAGAUUUAUCGGCAAGAGAUCGGCCCGCGUUGGAUUAGGUAGUUGGUGGGGUAAUGGCCUACCAAGCCGACGAUCCAUAGCUGGUUUGAGAGGAUGAUCAGCCACACUGGGACUGAGACACGGCCCAGACUCCUACGGGAGGCAGCAGUGGGGAAUCUUAGACAAUGGGCGCAAGCCUGAUCUAGCCAUGCCGCGUGAGCGAUGAAGGCCUUAGGGUUGUAAAGCUCUUUCAGUGGGGAAGAUAAUGACUGUACCCACAGAAGAAGCCCCGGCUAACUCCGUG